Molecule: small nucleolar RNA, 124 nt
Organism: Bison bison bison
Lineage: Eukaryota; Metazoa; Chordata; Mammalia; Artiodactyla; Bovidae
Source: Ensembl
GCCUUGAAGUUCAGUUCAGGGCAGCAUCUCUGUUCUGUUAAUUAAACUCAGGGACAUCAAACUGGCUAGGGUAGCUGACGGCUAGAAAAUAUUUCUCUAUUAAUUUACCUCCUAGCCAUAAAAA